RNAcentral lists this ribosomal RNA (491 nucleotides) under uncultured bacterium. Its description in RNAcentral is "partial 16S ribosomal RNA". It matches the Rfam family "Bacterial small subunit ribosomal RNA", at positions 29 to 506 of the family's 1533-position model. The record is from RNAcentral.
AGUGAACGCUGGCGGUAGGCCUAACACAUGCAAGUCGAACGGCAGCACAGUAAGAGCUUGCUCUUACGGGUGGCGAGUGGCGGACGGGUGAGGAAUACAUCGGAAUCUACUUUUUCGUGGGGGAUAACGUAGGGAAACUUACGCUAAUACCGCAUACGACCUACGGGUGAAAGCAGGGGAUCUUCGGACCUUGCGCGAUUGAAUGAGCCGAUGUCGGAUUAGCUAGUUGGCGGGGUAAAGGCCCACCAAGGCGACGAUCCGUAGCUGGUCUGAGAGGAUGAUCAGCCACACUGGAACUGAGACACGGUCCAGACGCCUACGGGAGGCAGCAGUGGGGAAUAUUGGACAAGGGGCGCAAGCCUGAUCCAGCCAUACCGCGUGGGUGAAGAAGGCCUUCGGGUUGUAAAGCCCUUUUGUUGGGAAAGAAAAGCAGCAGGUUAAUACCCCGCUGUUCUGACGGUACCCAAAGAAUAAGCACCGGCUAACUUCGU